The sequence is a ribosomal RNA, 987 nucleotides long. It matches the Rfam family "Eukaryotic large subunit ribosomal RNA", at positions 82 to 1162 of the family's 3401-position model.
AGUAGCGGCGAGCGAAGCGGGAAGAGCCCAAAAUGAAAAGCCAGCUUGCUGGCGUUGUAUUUGAGCGUCUUUGGGGUGUCAGUUCGGGAAAGUGGCAUGGAAAUGCGCGCCGAGGAGGGUGAUAGCCCCGUCCAUCCCGUUCAGGACACUUCGCACUAAGGCGUUUCAGACGAGUCGGGUAGCUUGGGAAUGCUGCUCUAAUUGGUGGUAAAUCUCAUCAAAGGCUAAAUAAUGGUAGGAGACCGAUAGCGAAAAAGUACCGUGAGGGAAAGAUGAAAAGCACUUUGAAAAGAGGGUAAAAAGAACCUGAAACCGUUACGGGGGAAGCGGAUUGCGUUAGCCUGGUGGCUACCUGUGUGUUCAGCCUUUAUGGUGCAUUGAUGCAGGUGGUUAUCUGUCGUGGCUUUUCGGUGGCUGAUAUUGAGUUGCUGAAGGGUGAGGGCUCCCCUUUUGGGUGAGGACGACGGAGUGAUGACGCGAUACGACCCGUCUUGAAACACGGACCAAGGAGUCUAGCGCGGGUGCGAGUCAGAGGGUUGUAAACCCGUGGGCGAAGUGAAAGCAAGUUUUUAACAAAACGAGCAGUUUGGGGCGGCAUAGAAUCGUUGAUUCUAGGUCUGACCUUGAGCAGUUGCGCUGGGACCCGAAAGAUGGUGAACUAUGCCGGAGUAGGGCGAAGCCAGAAGAAAUUCUGGUGGAGGCUCGUAGCGGUGCUGACGUGCAAAUCGCUCGUCGAACUUGGGUAUAGGGGCGAAAGACUAAUCGAACCAUCUAGUAGCUGGUUUCCUCCGAAGUUUCUCUCAGGAUAGCAGGCCGACAUGAGUUGUUUUGUGCGGUAAAGCGAAUGAUUAGCGCAUUCGGGGGCGUUUAGCCUUCGGGCGAUUCUCAAACUUUAAAUGCGCAAGGGUACCGGUGCUUUGUUGAGCGGUACCGUUAAAAACGUCGGCCUUGUGGGCCACUUUUGGUAAGCAGAACUGGCGAUACGGG